CUUUCGGGCUUCACCGCCUAUAUUACGUAUUUUCGUGCUAUAUAUAUUAUACCUAGUAAUAGGUACUUUGUGUAAUACGUUUCUCAUCGUAUACUUUAUAAACACUUUAAAGUAUAAACUAAUAAUUUUACACAAAAAUUACCCAAUAACAGGAUACUUAAUAAAUAAACAGUGAAAUCCGUUAUAUACAUUUUGUUAUUUGUAUUUUUUAACUAACGAACUCCAAUAAUUGUCACAAUUACAUCAUAAACCCAUAUGUUUUAGUUAUUUUAAGUAUUAUUUUUUGAAACCACAUAAGACAAAUAACUUACAUUAUUACCGACAAACAAUGUAGAUUUCACAAAUUUAUGACAGAUUAUUAAACGGAUUACGAUAAUGCUAUAGGUACAACUUUUUUUUGAUGACCCGUGUUUUUGAAUAAAAGUUAUUCAUUAUUCAAUUUUAAAAGAAAAAUCUACUGUUGCGAAAUCGCUGAACACAAAUUUCUAUGAGAAUUCAUUAUUAUUAUUUUUUUCUAGCUGAAUUUGGAAAAAUUGGUAAAUAUAUUUCAUGUUAACCGUCAUCUACUAUCACCAACUAAAAAAUAAAAGCACAUACACUUCAAAUUCUAAGAAUAUGAAAUAAUAAGGGUAUUUUCAAUAAUACUCUGAAAUGUUCGCAUAGUAAUAUAAUAUAGGUAAUCGUUAUGAAUAUCCACACAAUAGACUCCAUACAUUUUCAUUAGUGGUACCAUUGAUCGUAUAAUGGUUUGUAUUUUUAAUCUAUAUCUACAAUCAGCGAUAAAAUAAGUGCGAGAAGAAAUUAAGGCAUGGGUAUAAGAAUAAAUUGUGAAAGAAUAGAUAUUAUGCUACGAUUAUCAGAUGAUAUUGCGGUAAUAAGAGACAAUGGAGAGGACUUACAGAAUAUCUUAGAUUUAAUGGACUUAACAAUGAAAAAUGAAGGUUCCUAAACUCAAAUAACACUAUAAUGGAUAGUGACACAUUAGAGCAAGUGAAUAAAUUCAAUUAUCUGGGAAGUAAGAUAACCGAGAACUGCUGUAGGUAGUAUCAGGGAGAUAAUAAGUGGAAUACAUCAGGCUGAAUAUCCAUUUCGGAGCAAGAAAAAUAUGUUUAUAUUAAGAAAUAUGUACAUAAAUGUAAGUAAAGACCUAUUAAAGGCCUAUGAUUGGAGCAUAGAAUGGAGUGGUAUUGUUGCAUGGAUGUUAGGUAUAACAGAUGAAAAUAGAGUUCUAGCGUUUGAGACAUGAUGUUACUGCAGGAUGCUGCUUGAAUAAGCUGGACAGAAAACAUAAACAAUUUGGAAGUUUAUUGAAGAGCCUGAGAAACAAGAAUCGGUCCUUAAAAACAGGAAGAGCCAAGUUAUUCGGUCACAUAAUGCGCCAAAACAGUCCACCAUCACUGGGCUAUAUUAGUCAAAUAGUAAGAGCUACAGACUGCAGAACAUAAUAUUGUGAACUAAAAAUGAAAGCGAUGACGGGAGAAGCGUCAGGAGUGGAAAAUGCCAACCAGCCUUCGGGCAGUUAGCAAAAAUAGGAUAAAAUAAUCAAUGGUGGUAGGUACCAAGAAAAACCCAAGGCAAUCCAUCACAUGAAAGAUCACUUUACAUUUUAUAAUUUUAGGUAUUAUUAAUAACCAUCGUAUAUUUUACAUCUAUUUUUUUAUAGAAAAAAUUUGUAAGUAUAUUUUAUGUUUAUUUUCCUAUAGUAAAUUUAUCCUCUUCUGGAACGACCCGAAUACAAAUCCAUAACUAACUAGAACACACAUUGUUUGUAAUAUUAGUAUAGGUUUUUGUAUUUAUUUGAAGCGAAUUCUAGAUAAAAAUUCAAACACAUGUUCUGUGGAAAGGCCAACUGAUGUAAACCUCAUUUUUAAUCUAUUGCAUAGCUUUUUUUCGCAGGCCUGGCGUGGUAACUGAAAAGAAAUUUUUCGUAACGAAAAAGCGUGACCUGUUAUUAUUACUAUUAUUAUUAUUAUCUGCGUUCGAAGGUUGUUAUCGGUAUAUUUGCAGGUAGUAGGCCGUCGAAUUAAAAAUGUAAUGGUUUAUAUCGGAGCAACUAUAGUUACACCACGGGCGUAUUCCGCAGCAUUUUCCGUCGAAGUUAAAAUGCAUCGGUUUAUAUCGGAGCAGCUAUAGGUAAAACGACGGGCGUAACACAGCGCGGCAAAAUACUCAAGACGAACGGCGUUUUCUGUCGAAGCGGGUAACGCGAGUAUUGUAUUACGCCUGUUGUGUACCUAUAGUUGCUCCGAUAUAAACCAUUACAUUUUUAAUUGGAGGGAAAACGCUGCGGAAAUCGUUGUAGCAUUCGAAACGUAGCAGAAUACUUAAAUGUAUUUAUUUAGUUAUAUGUAUAUGAUGUACGGUGUUUAUCAUUAUCAACAAAAAAAACUCAUGUUGUCAUUUUCUUUUCGGUCUUGGCGCUCAAAAAGUAUAACUUGAAUUUAUAUCAAAAAAAAAAAAUAAAUAAAUAAUUAGUAAUGAUUACAUGAUACAUAGCUACAGAAUUGAUAUGCAAUGGCUUUGCCACGGCAGUCCCUGAGUGCCUCAUGAUUUUUUUUUUUAAGUGAGGUUGUUAUUGAAUAUUAUUCUUGACACAUAAUUACACAUUCUGGUCAAAUAUUGUAACCCACAAAUGAGUACUUCUGGUAUACAAUUGUGUAACUCAAAUGACGCAACCCUCAUCAUAAACAAAAUUAUGUUAAUAAUGGCAAUUAACAUAAGCUAUAACAUCACCCACCAGAAUUGGAACAAUUCAUAAUUUAUUCCAGUCAAGUAAUGUAAGCAUCAAUGUAAGCCUCGUUAUUCAAGCCAAAUAUCACAUUUUACCAGCCAAAUAACGCAACCAAAAAAAAUAUGAAAUGUGCCAGCGUGUUUUUCGUUGUAAUCAUGGUUGAAAAAUACAACUGUGAUUGUAAUAAAAUUAAUAUAAUUUAUUACCUAUAGCACUGUUAUUGUGAUUGCGGAAAUUUAGGAGUAUUUACUGCGGGAGUAAAGAUUGAGGUUAGGAACCUUUGAGAGUCGAACGCCUAAAUUGUCGUCAGGAAAAUAAUAAUUUUAUUUGAAUAAAUCACAAAAUAAUUGUGUUGCGUGUCUUACUGCGCAAUCGUUAAUUUGAAAACAAGUAAAGGUUAGAAUUUUAUAAUAAUACAAAAUAAUAUUCACGAACAAUAAACGAUCGGAGAGAGUGACUAACUGUGUGCGAACGCCGCGAGACUGGUGGGGAGUGACGUAGUGACGCGACUACGGCAGUGAGAGAACAGUAUUUUGGGACAAUAGUCGCCACAUUAUUAACGUUACAACACUGGGCUUAUCACUCAUAAUGUUUAAUGUAUGUUUGUAACUUGUAUACUCAAAAACUACUAUUAACCGAUUUUGUGAUUAGAUAAUAUGUAAAAUUGUUCUUAGAGAUGUCUGGACCUUGUAGAGUAAUUUGAACCACUUUUGGUUCAUAAUAAGUGCUAUAUCCAAUCCAAAAGCGCAGCCUCUCUACCCUCCCAAGGUGUAUUUAAAUAUGAAAUUAAAACACCCCUCCCCCCAACAUCGAUUUAACUGUAUCAUAUUUAAUAUGAUAAAAAUAAUUAUCAAGUUU
Molecule: long non-coding RNA, 3589 nt
Organism: Acyrthosiphon pisum (pea aphid)
Lineage: Eukaryota; Metazoa; Arthropoda; Insecta; Hemiptera; Aphididae
Exons: 2
Source: RefSeq, a predicted model, not a curated record